This 375-nucleotide ribosomal RNA is filed under the name uncultured eukaryote. RNAcentral's name for it is "partial 18S ribosomal RNA". It matches the Rfam family "Eukaryotic small subunit ribosomal RNA", at positions 592 to 976 of the family's 1831-position model. The record is from RNAcentral.
CAAUAGCGUAUAUUUAAGUUGUUGCAGUUAAAAAGCUCGUAGUUGGAUUUCGGUUAAGAGCGACCGGUCCGCCGUUUGGUGUGCACUGGUUGGUUUUAACUUCCUGUAGAGGACGUGCUCUGGGUUUAACGACCUGGACUCGGAGUCUACGUGGUUACUUUGAAAAAAUUAGAGUGUUCAAAGCGGGCUCACGCUUGAAUAUUUCAGCAUGGAAUAACACUAUAGGACUCCUGUCCUAUUUCGUUGGUCUCGGGACGGGAGUAAUGAUUAAGAGGAACAGUUGGGGGCAUUCGUAUUUCAUUGUCAGAGGUGAAAUUCUUGGAUUUAUGAAAGACGAACUUCUGCGAAAGCAUUUGCCAAGGAUGUUUUCAUUAA